GGUGGCUCAGUGGUAGAGCACUUGUUCUGCAUGCAUGAGGCCCUGGGUUCAAUUCCUCAGCACCA
RNAcentral lists this transfer RNA (65 nucleotides) under Dipodomys ordii (Ord's kangaroo rat). It matches the Rfam family "tRNA". From Rfam's summary of the family: Transfer RNA (tRNA) molecules are approximately 80 nucleotides in length. Their secondary structure includes four short double-helical elements and three loops (D, anti-codon, and T loops). Further hydrogen bonds mediate the characteristic L-shaped molecular structure. tRNAs have two regions of fundamental functional importance: the anti-codon, which is responsible for specific mRNA codon recognition, and the 3' end, to which the tRNAs corresponding amino acid is attached (by aminoacyl-tRNA synthetases). tRNAs cope with the degeneracy of the genetic code in two manners: having more than one tRNA (with a specific anti-codon) for a particular amino acid; and 'wobble' base-pairing, i.e. permitting non-standard base-pairing at the 3rd anti-codon position. Lineage: Eukaryota; Metazoa; Chordata; Mammalia; Rodentia; Heteromyidae. The record is from Rfam by way of RNAcentral.